GGGAUCUACCGGAAUGGGGAGGGGCUCAUCGGGGGCGGGGUUUAGACUCCCCGAGGCUACGGUGCAGCAGCCGGGGACGGGCCUAGUGAAAAGGGGCGGGAGAUCACGGCCCGCUGGCGGCAGUCACCGGAGCGAGUGGACCGGGCGGCCGACCGAGGGGCGGACGCACGGCGCGGCAGACGUCUGGGGACUGCAGGCGGCGCCGUGUCCAUCGCCAUGACAGAUCAGACCUACUGCGACCGCCUGGUGCAGGACACGCCUUUCCUGACAGGCCACGGGCGCUUGAGUGAGCAGCAGGUGGACAGGAUCAUCCUCCAGCUGAACCGCUACUACCCACAGAUCCUUACCAACAAGGAGGCGGAAAAGUUCCGGAACCCCAAGGCGUCCUUGCGUGUGCGGCUCUGUGACCUCCUGAGCCACCUGCAGCGGAGUGGCGAGCGGGACUGCCAGGAGUUCUACCGAGCCCUGUACAUCCACGCCCAGCCCCUGCACAGCCGCCUGCCCAGCCGCCACGCUCUGCGUAAGUUUCACAUCGCCAGCCACGCAUGCUUGGUGCUGGCCCAGGGAGAGCACCCCAGCCUGCUGUUGAUGGCAUGGAUGUCCUCCAGACCAUCCAAGUCUGCUGCAGCCCAGGCCUGGCAUCCCCUCUCACCCAGCCACUCGCUAGAGGCCACCCUGAGGGGAGAGUGUGGCAGGCUCAGGCAGUGCAGACGUCAGCCUCUGUCUCCACUCCCUCUCCUCCGUCUCUCUCAUGGCAGUUUCCACGCAGAAGGGGGCAUCCUGUACAUCUACUCUUGCUCUUCCUUUUGUAGCCUCAUUCCAGGGGGAUCCCUUCAUAUCUACGUGGGUAGCAGCCUUGUUCCCACAGCUGCAUGACGCUCCUAGGCGGUCCCAGCUGGAAUUACCCAACCCCAUGACAGGCCCUUUCAUUGCAGCGAUCUGCACACGUGCGGGUGUUUCCACAGGGCAUUGCCGGGCACGGGUGGCUGGUCCCAAGCACGUGCAUUUCGGUUUUGAGGUUCCUGUCCCCAGGCGGCAUGCGGUCAGGCUCCGGGAGUCAUGUGGAUGCCAGUAGCCGGGGCCCUCAGAACUGCUAAGACCUGGGGGACACAUCAAAGCGAAGAUGGCAGCUUGGAUCUGACGCCUCCAUGCUCAGGGCCCUGGAGGACGGGUUGCUGCCCCUCGACAUUCAGACAAUAGGACAGAGACCAGAGGGACUGGACGGGGCUGGCUCAUCCUAGGCUACUGGACUGGGGUCUCUCACCCCCUGGAGGCCUCCCAGCCUCCACAGGACACAAUGCAGAUGGUGGGCAGGGAGAGCUCAAGGGCAGGCCCAGCCCCAAAGGUAGGACUGUCUCUCCCUCCCCAGCCACGAGUAUGCCUCAGGGGGCUUUCAGAACCAGGCAGGGCCAAGCCUUGGCCCUGCUGGAGGUAGAGCAGCUUCUAUGGCUCCCAGGUGCCUAAAAGUCUCCAGCACGUCACAGGCUAGAGAGCCUCCCAGGGAGGCCUGGGCAGAAAGCUCCGGCCAACUGCACCCAGUGAGGCAGCCACCAUGCUGACAGCACCCACGCUGUCCGCAGCUAUGUUCGUGCCAUGUUCGGUGCCUGUGGCCACCAGGGUGCAAUGGCCCUCCGAUGCCCAUGGCCCUUGAAGUCACAAGAACUGGACCAGAGGAGAGAACCCAGACUGUGCAUAGUUCCUAAGGAGGGCUGGCCUCAUGUCCCACGGUCUGGUCCGGCCUGGCAGCCUCGGGAGGCAGUGAUGGCCUGGGCUUCCUGCAGGGUGACCGGCUUGCCCUCUGGCCCUGCCCAUUGACUGACUAACUGUGCUCUGUGGUUUUGUUUCCAGAGAACUCAGAUUGCACAGAGCUAGACUCGGGCAGCCAGAUCAGCGAGCUGAGUGACAGGGGACCCAUGAGCUUCCUGGCUGGCCUGGGCCUUGCCGUGGGACUGGCCCUGCUCCUGUACUGCUAUCCGCCAGACCCCAAGGGCCUGCCAGGGACCCGGCGCGUCCUUGGCUUCUCACCUGUCAUCAUCGACAGACAUGUCAGCCGCUACCUGCUGGCCUUCCUGGCAGAUGACCUGGGGGGGCUCUGACACACCCCAGACCCAGGGCCUCCCCUGCCACUCAACCAAAGAGUCCUCCAGCCAGCCCAACAAGGGCUGCAGCUUCUUUUUCUAAAUGCUUAUUUUUCAUUAUUUAUAAUUUGUGUAAGAAACGCAUCUUCACCUUACAAGGUGCUGACCCAUAUUAAAUAUUCAAGUUCCGUCA
Sapajus apella (tufted capuchin) is the source of this 2271-nucleotide RNA transcript. It is a transcript of the gene named caspase recruitment domain family member 19, with no coding region annotated. The record is from RefSeq and is a predicted model, not a curated record. NCBI's taxonomy places the organism in Eukaryota, Metazoa, Chordata, Mammalia, Primates, Cebidae. The transcript is spliced from 5 exons.